AAGAGCAAAGAAAGAACAGAAUAGUUUCUCUGAUCACUAGGGUUAGUGGGAUCCUGUUAAAAACCAGCAUCCAGACUGUCAAUAUUUGGAUCAAGAGCAUCUCUUAGCAUUCCUUUAGCCCUCAUAACACCUUUGUGAGGCAGGAAAUCAGAACAUGCGGGUCCUAGCUGGAUUCUGCAGCAACAUUGCCUGAUGCUUUAGUGCAGUGGGAGUAAAAGUUCAGUGCUCGAUUUGUAAAGGUGACAGACUGAAGAUAUUUCUAAGGAAAGCCACUCAGCUGCUAAAAGAUUUGGCAAGACAGUGAGAAUUCUGAACCCUUCAACAACAAUAGCAAGUCCUCAGCAUCUCUCGCAGCUACCCUCAAUAUUUGCAAAUGAAAGGUUAUUUGCAAAAAUUAGAGGUCUAAUUUUUUUGAAGUAAUUUAUGGAGAACAGGACCACAUACCACUCAGAGGCUUUUCAGUCAUACACAGAAAUGGACUCAAAAUGGACCAUGGUGUUACAACUUGCAGAGGACUUCCCAGCAACCUGUUCCCAGAGAGCUGAG
Long non-coding RNA from Columba livia (rock pigeon), 546 nucleotides. RefSeq lists it as uncharacterized. NCBI's taxonomy places the organism in Eukaryota, Metazoa, Chordata, Aves, Columbiformes, Columbidae. The record is from RefSeq and is a predicted model, not a curated record. The transcript is spliced from 4 exons.